Non-coding RNA from Heterocephalus glaber (naked mole-rat), 403 nucleotides. Lineage: Eukaryota; Metazoa; Chordata; Mammalia; Rodentia; Bathyergidae. The record is from RefSeq and is a predicted model, not a curated record.
CCACCCCCUACCUCUGCAGGAACUCCGCCAGCCCCCCCAGGCAGCAAUGUGCCAUGCGCUCCCCUAACUCCUGGCUGAUGCGGGGUGCUCGCUCCGUGUGGUCUUCCAGCAGCUGCAUGGGUCAACGGGACAGGAGGUGAGGAUCCCCUCCCUCCAUAGCCCCAAGCGAUCUGGAUUCUGCCCAAUAUGACAAGCAAGGUGGUGCUACUGAGAGAGAUCGAACCCCCAAGCUUGCCCAGCCCUUCCAUUCCGAGUCUAGGGCUUGAAGCUUCCUCCGCCUAAUAGCCACCGAGUUGAAGGGUCUGUGCUUCAUUGUUGGAUGGUGCUAAGACUCUGCUCCUAGGUUCUGCUGAGCGAUUAGUUCAAGAUUGUCAGAGUCUGGGAUUAAAGAAUUGCAAAGGUU